Molecule: transfer RNA, 85 nt
Filed under: Roseibaca sp. Y0-43
Lineage: Bacteria; Pseudomonadati; Pseudomonadota; Alphaproteobacteria; Rhodobacterales; Paracoccaceae
Description: tRNA-Leu
Rfam family: tRNA
About the family: Transfer RNA (tRNA) molecules are approximately 80 nucleotides in length. Their secondary structure includes four short double-helical elements and three loops (D, anti-codon, and T loops). Further hydrogen bonds mediate the characteristic L-shaped molecular structure. tRNAs have two regions of fundamental functional importance: the anti-codon, which is responsible for specific mRNA codon recognition, and the 3' end, to which the tRNAs corresponding amino acid is attached (by aminoacyl-tRNA synthetases). tRNAs cope with the degeneracy of the genetic code in two manners: having more than one tRNA (with a specific anti-codon) for a particular amino acid; and 'wobble' base-pairing, i.e. permitting non-standard base-pairing at the 3rd anti-codon position.
Source: RNAcentral
GCGGGCGUGGCGGAAUGGUAGACGCAAGCGACUUAAAAUCGCUCGAGCCUUGCUCGUGCGGGUUCAAGUCCCGCCGCCCGCACCA